CGGUGGCGGAGGCAAACCUACGGCAACGUGGGGACGCAAAGCCGCGAGCGCCCCUCCUCCCUCGGUAGGAGGUGGGAGGGGGUAGUCGGGCUGCCGAA
This 98-nucleotide non-coding RNA is filed under the name Candidatus Omnitrophota bacterium. RNAcentral describes it as "Omnitrophica WOR c-di-GMP sequence". It matches the Rfam family "c-di-GMP-I riboswitch aptamer". From Rfam's summary of the family: GEMM was predicted in a large-scale screen for bacterial structured RNA regulatory elements. Lineage: Bacteria; Pseudomonadati; Candidatus Omnitrophota. The record is from RNAcentral.